AAUUUCUGCUACAUUAGUUCAGUUUCUGUACUUAAUUG
This 38-nucleotide unclassified non-coding RNA is filed under the name Perkinsiella-like sp. PLO/NRSS/II. RNAcentral's name for it is "trans-spliced leader sequence SL". RNAcentral also lists the same sequence under 1 other name. Lineage: Eukaryota; Euglenozoa; Kinetoplastea; Prokinetoplastida; Perkinselidae. The record is from RNAcentral.